CGGCGAGUGAAGCGGCAACAGCUCAAAUUUGAAAUCUGGCCCCUUUGGGGUCCGAGUUGUAAUUUGCAGAGGGUGCUUUGGCGUUGGCUGUGGUCCAAGUUCCCUGGAACAGGACGUCGCAGAGGGUGAGAACCCCGUACGUGGCCGCCAGCCUCCGCCGUGUAAAGCCCCUUCGAAGAGUCGAGUUGUUUGGGAAUGCAGCUCUAAUUGGGAGGUAAAUUCCUUCUAAAGCUAAAUAUUGGCCAGAGACCGAUAGCGCACAAGUAGAGUGAUCGAAAGAUGAAAAGCACUUUGGAAAGAGAGUGAAAAAGCACGUGAAAUUGUUGAAAGGGAAGCGCUUGGAGCCAGACGUGCCCGUAGUUGCUCAGCCGGGGUUCUCCCCGGUGCACUCUUCUGCGGGCAGGCCAGCAUCAGUUUGGGCGGUCGGACAAAAGCCUGCUAAACGUACCUCCCCCAGGGGAGGACUUAUAGGGUAGGUGGCAUACGACCAGCCCGGACUGAGGACCGCGCAUCUGCUAGGAUGCUGGCGUAAUGGCUGUAAGCGGCCCGUCUUGAAACACGGACCAAGGAGUCUAAAAUCUAUG
RNAcentral lists this ribosomal RNA (584 nucleotides) under Cucurbitariaceae sp. Its description in RNAcentral is "partial large subunit ribosomal RNA". It matches the Rfam family "Eukaryotic large subunit ribosomal RNA", at positions 87 to 686 of the family's 3401-position model. The record is from RNAcentral. Lineage: Eukaryota; Fungi; Ascomycota; Dothideomycetes; Pleosporales; Cucurbitariaceae.